This 189-nucleotide non-coding RNA is filed under the name Pseudomonadota bacterium. RNAcentral's name for it is "6S RNA". It matches the Rfam family "6S / SsrS RNA". Rfam says of the family: E. coli 6S RNA was the first non coding RNA to be sequenced, but its function was unknown until recently. It consists of 184 nucleotides that fold into an extended hairpin structure with a large single-stranded internal bulge. The 6S RNA specifically associates with RNA polymerase holoenzyme containing the sigma70 specificity factor. Lineage: Bacteria; Pseudomonadati; Pseudomonadota. The record is from RNAcentral. RNAcentral also lists the same sequence under 1 other name.
GGUUCUCUGCCGUGUGCGAGGCGGGUCGGAUAAGCUCCGAUCCAACACCGAACGACAGGGAGCCGGACUCCGGCCGUUGGUGGCGCCCGCGGCAUUGGUGAUGCCGGUUGAAGCCCAGGCGGUCGGGAGGCACCCACCUGCGAGGGCAGGGUUCGGGAGCUUCGUCCCGUACGGCACGGCGGAGAACAG